RNAcentral lists this ribosomal RNA (476 nucleotides) under Acidovorax sp. 01WB03.2-11. RNAcentral's name for it is "bacterial SSU rRNA". It matches the Rfam family "Bacterial small subunit ribosomal RNA", at positions 1 to 482 of the family's 1533-position model. Lineage: Bacteria; Pseudomonadati; Pseudomonadota; Betaproteobacteria; Burkholderiales; Comamonadaceae. The record is from RNAcentral.
UGAGCUUGAUCUGGCUCAGAUUGAACGCUGGCGGCAUGCCUUACACAUGCAAGUCGAACGGUAACAGCUCUUCGGAGGCUGACGAGUGGCGAACGGGUGAGUAAUACAUCGGAACGUGCCCGAUCGUGGGGGAUAACGGAGCGAAAGCUUUGCUAAUACCGCAUACGAUCUACGGAUGAAAGCAGGGGACCCUCGGGCCUUGCGCGAACGGAGCGGCCGAUGGCAGAUUAGGUAGUUGGUGGGAUAAAAGCUUACCAAGCCGACGAUCUGUAGCUGGUCUGAGAGGACGACCAGCCACACUGGGACUGAGACACGGCCCAGACUCCUACGGGAGGCAGCAGUGGGGAAUUUUGGACAAUGGGCGAAAGCCUGAUCCAGCAAUGCCGCGUGCAGGAUGAAGGCCUUCGGGUUGUAAACUGCUUUUGUACGGAACGAAAAGUCUCGGGAUAAUACCCUGGGACCAUGACGGUACCGUA